Molecule: ribosomal RNA, 1965 nt
Filed under: Triticum aestivum (bread wheat)
Lineage: Eukaryota; Viridiplantae; Streptophyta; Magnoliopsida; Poales; Poaceae
Description: partial small subunit ribosomal RNA
Source: RNAcentral
AUGGCGGAGGACGGCGAGGAGAAGCUGCUCGCGACGGUGCAGCACAUCGUGCAGACGCUCGGGAGCAGCGACACCAUGACGGAGGACAUCCUCAAGGUCUUCUCCAACUACGACGGCCGCCUGUCGCUCGACAAGAUCUACGCCGCGCGCGGCGCCGUGGCGGCCGCGGCGGGCGGCGGCGGGGGAGGUGGGGGCGGAGGGGAGCGCUCGAUGCCGGCGUCGCCGCCGCUGCCCCCGCCGCCCGCGGCCGCCGUGCCGGGCUCCUCCGCGAGGCCGCCCGUCACCUCCAUGGAGCGGACCGUGCGCACGCUCGACCGCCAGAUCUCGCAGUUCGUCACCAUGGACCGGCUGAUCUGGGCCGACUCGGGCGACGCCGACGCCUUCCUCGAGGCCGUCGACGACCUCAUCGGCACCGUGCAGGAGCUGGACGCCGCGGGGACCAACCGCGUGCUGCUCGACCGCGCCGACGAGCUGCUCAGCCGGUGCAUGGCGCGGCUGGAGGACGAGUUCCGGGCGCUCAUCGAGCGCCCCGACGAGGCGGCCCCCUCGGCGCCCGGCGGGUUCGCUUCCGACGGCAGCGACGACGAGGAGUUCUACGGCGGCGCGGACGGCUACGGCGACGAGCCCAUCCCGAUCGCCAAGCCCGUCACCGACUACGACGUCGUCAUCGACGCGCUCUCGCCGGGCUCCAUUGCCAACGUGCACCAGAUCUCGCGCCGGAUGGUGGACGCCGGCUUCGGCCGGGAGUGCGCCGAGGCCUACGCCGCCGCGCGGCGCGGCUUCGUCGACGAGAGCGUCGCGCGUCUCGGCGUCCGGCCGCGCACCGCCGAAGAGGUCCACGCCUCCCCCUGGGAGGAGCUGGAGUUCGACAUCGCCCGCUGGAUCCCAGCCUUCAACAUGGUCUUCCGCAUUCUGAUCCCCAGCGAGCGCCGCCUAUGCGACCGUGUCUUCGACGGUCUCGCCCCCUUCGGCGACCUCGCCUUUAUUGCUGCCGUGCGCACUCAGGCGCUGCAGCUCAUAUCAUUCGGCGACGCCAUUUCUUCCUCCAGCCGCUCGCCGGAGCGCCUCUUCCGUGUGGUGGACAUGUAUGAGGCCGUGCGGGACAUCCUCCCGGACCUUGACCCUGUGUUCUCGGACCCUUACUCCGCCGCACUCCGCGCAGAGGUCUCUGCAGUGUGCAACACCCUUGGUUCCUCAAUCAAAGGUAUAUUCAUGGAAUUGGAAAAUCUCAUCCGCCGGGACCCUGCCCGGGUUGCCACACCUGGUGGUGGCAUACACCCCAUCACUCGGUAUGUCAUGAACUAUCUCCGUGCUGCAUGCGGUUCGCGGCAGACAUUGGAAGAGGUGAUGGAAGGCGACCUUGGUGCUGGCGGUAGAGCUUCUGCUGCCGUGGACCCUGACCGCCCCACGUCUUCACUUGCUGUGCACAUCGCAUGGAUCAUGGACGUUCUGCACAAGAAUUUGGAUGCAAAAUCUAAGAUUUACCGAGAUCCCUCACUGGCUUGCAUCUUCUUGAUGAACAAUGGCAAGUACAUUAUCCAGAAAGUGAAUGACAGCGAGCUAGGUGUUCUACUCGGCGAUGACUGGAUCAAGCAGUUGUCAACUAGAGUGCGUCGCUGGAGCAUGGAUUAUCAGCGUUCAACAUGGGGCAAGGUUACAACUGUGCUGCAGAUUGGUGGUUCUGGUGUUGGUGCACUCCCAGCCAAGGCAAUGCUGCAGAAAUUGCGGAUGUUUAAUACCUACUUUGAGGAGAUCUAUGCAGUACAAUCAGAGUGGGUGGUAGCUGAUGAUCAGUUGCGAAUGGACGUUAGGGCAGCAGUGGAGGAUUCAGUGAUGCCAGCAUAUGCGGCUUUGAUUAACAGGUUAAAAUCAGCUCCUGAAACUGGACGUGACUUGUACAUCAAGUACACCCCAGAAGAUGUCGAGGCACAUAUCCAGCACUUGUUUGAAGGAGCAGCAAAGUGA